CCCUUAGAUGUUCUGGGCUGCACGCGUGUUACAAUCGGGAGUACAACAAGAUUGCAAAUCCUAGUGGAUGAGUGGUUCUUCGAAAUUUUCUGAAGACUGGGAUAGUUGAUUGAAAUUAUUCAACUCGAACGAGGAAUUCCUUGUAAUUGUAAUUCAUUAUACUGUAAUGAAUACGUCCCUGCCCUUUGUACACACCGCCCGUCGCUCCUACCGAUUGAACGAUCCGGUGAAUUAUUUGGAGUAGCUCUGGAAGUUGCAGAACUUCCUAUGUCACGAAAUUUUGUAAACCUUAUCGUUUAGAGGAAGGAAAAGUCGUAACA
RNAcentral lists this ribosomal RNA (320 nucleotides) under uncultured eukaryote. RNAcentral's name for it is "partial 18S ribosomal RNA". It matches the Rfam family "Eukaryotic small subunit ribosomal RNA", at positions 1470 to 1796 of the family's 1831-position model. The record is from RNAcentral.